Molecule: ribosomal RNA, 497 nt
Filed under: uncultured bacterium
Lineage: Bacteria
Description: bacterial SSU rRNA
Rfam family: Bacterial small subunit ribosomal RNA
Source: RNAcentral
AUCAUGGCUCAGAUUGAACGCUGGCGGCAUGCUUUACACAUGCAAGUCGAGCGGCAGCGCGGGGGCAACCCUGGCGGCGAGCGGCGAACGGGUGAGUAAUGCAUCGGAACGUGUCCCGUAGUGGGGGAUAACCCGGCGAAAGCCGGGCUAAUACCGCAUAUGCUCUACGGAGAAAGGGGGGGAUCCGCAAGGACCUCUCGCUAUGGGAGCGGCCGAUGUCCGAUUAGCUUGUUGGUGGGGUAAUGGCUUACCAAGGCGACGAUCGGUAGCUGGUCUGAGAGGAUGAUCAGCCACACUGGGACUGAGACACGGCCCAGACUCCUACGGGAGGCAGCAGUGGGGAAUUUUGGACAAUGGGGGCAACCCUGAUCCAGCCAUGCCGCGUGCGGGAAGAAGGCCUUCGGGUUGUAAACCGCUUUUAGUCGGGAAGAAAAGGCGAUCUCUAAUACGGGUCGUUCUUGACGGUACCGGCGGAAUAAGCACCGGCUAACUACGUG